RNAcentral lists this long non-coding RNA (2212 nucleotides) under Gossypium barbadense (sea-island cotton). RNAcentral's name for it is "long non-coding RNA (GBAR_LNC012827)". The record is from RNAcentral. Lineage: Eukaryota; Viridiplantae; Streptophyta; Magnoliopsida; Malvales; Malvaceae.
AUGGGGUUUUUCGCCUCCGUUUAAAGCGCCCAAAGGCUACAUCCCCCCUAACCCGAGAGCCUAAGAGAAGAGACCCCCCUUUAUUCCCUUUGGAAUCGGUCUUAAACCACAGAGCCAGGGUUCCGGUGACGUGACUUUGGGGUUUGGGGUAAGUCUCAUUUUCACUUUUCUUCUUAUUUUUUUGUCUAAAACAAACUUGAAAAUAGAAAAAGAAAAAAAAAGUAAAAUAGAAUAGAAAUCAGGAGAUAAAAAGAGAAGAUCAGAUUCAACCUUUUUUUUAUUGCUUAAAUCGCGUGUAAAAACCAAAAUACAUUGAUCUUUCUGGCUUUUAUAGCCGAAUAAAACUUCCUAUUCUACUGUUUAUUUCACUAUUGGUGUUGUUCAUGAUUUUGCUUAUGCUACUAUUUCUAUAAUCCUUGUUUCUGUCUUUCUUUUUUCUUUUUGCAGGGUCGGCGCUUAGACAACUAAGGGGAGAAGGGUUUCUUUUUCCAUUUCGGUGCAAACUUACAGACGAGCCUCGGGACGAGGUACGGGCGACGUGGCCGAGGAGGGCAUAGGUGCGGCGCACAUAAAAUUAGGGUUUAGGCUUUUCUAAAAAAAUGUUUAGGUACAUGGGCUUGUUAUCUUUGGACUAAGUUUUUAGUUUUGGGUCUGCAGAAAUUUAGAAUUGUGUUUUGGACUCUGGACUGGUAAUUUUUAUAUUUGGGCUUUUUGUUUGGGCUGGUUAAUGAUUUUGGGCUCGGGUAAAUUUGGGUUUUUACAUUUACCAAUGAGCAGGCAACAUUAGUAGUGACCUCAAAUAGCAGCCUUUUUUAUAGAACAGUUGAAACUUAAAUAUAUUAAGCAACAAGAAUAGUUCCUUAUGUUAAAUUUAGAUAAUAAGUAUAUGGCAUUUCUUUGAAGCUUUUGGCAGUGCACAUAUAUUUUUACUCAUCAUUCUCUGCUCUCUCUUUGGCACGCUUUUGAUCUCUACCGUCAAACUCUCUAAAACCCCUGCCUUCUUGAAAAGAUACUCCACCAAUUGAAACUCUAUAUUCUUUCUUUUCAAUGCAAAAACUUGAUUGCCUUGAUAUGAUGCCGAAAACAAGAGGGAUAUUUCUUCGGUGUACGCCAAUCUACGGGAUCAACGUCCUGAAAAACAAGACCAAAACAUAUAUAGCUACAACGAAACUAGUUCAAGACUGCAAUAAUAUGUAUAUAUGCAAUUUCUUUCCUUAAUUCGUACCUCCAAUUCAAAAGCAAGGGUUUCAAGACAUGGACAUCUAACAAGCAUGUUUUCCCAUCCAGCAUUGCAGGUACCAAUCUUCAAAAAGGUCAGGUUUGGAAAUUCGGGAAUCAGACUGGGCCUCUGUAGCAUAGCUUGAAUCUGAAAAAGGAAGGUUGGUUAUAGUUAAGUCACUUAGUCAAUGUUUUUUCUUUUUUUACUAGAAAAUGAAAUCCAGAAUUUUUUUUUUUUGGUACCCCUGAGCAAAUACCGGUUAAAUGAAAUGAUUGAACACAACUGAGUGCUCUCAUCACAUCAAAUACCGAAUCAGUGACAUUGCAGUAGUUUGAAGACAUGGCUAUAAAUCCAAUAUAAAUGCGUGCUUCUGAAAGAGAGUUUAGGUUUCUGAGUGAGAGCCUUGUUUCUUUACAGUAGACGCAGCCGAAAUCAAAGAAGACCAGAUUCGGGGUGUCAAUCUCCACUUCACAACUAGGGGCAAUAAAACCACCACUUAUGGUUAGCCUCUUAAGUGUAGGAUGGCAAACACUGAGUUUGUUUAGGUUGCUGAGUUCACAUGAUUGAACAAGCAAUUCCUCCAGCGAAUUGCAGCUCGAAAGUAGCCUUCUAAUGGAUUCAUCAUCAGAGAAUUUCAGAAAAGUAAGAUGGAGACCUUUGAGAUUCGGCAGACAACAAUGGGUGGGAAUAGUCAGGACAAGACUUGGAAGGUUGAAUAAUCUCAAUGUGAGCAGUGUUUUACAAGUAAAAACCCCGAGUUCCAGGUCAGUGAAAUGUCUUGUUUCGAAGGUUCCACUUUGAAAGAUCAAUUCAAGUUCUCUAACGCCAUGCCUUACUGCGUACAGUAUCCAUUCAUUGAUCUUGCGAUGAUCAAUUCCGGGUCCAUAGCAGAGGCGAAAUCUAUCCACACUGAUAUCCUUACGCAAGGACAGAAAUCCAUCCACAAAUUCCAUGAAUCUAUUACGUAAAGCCCCCUUCCUUAGAACUCCAUCG